UGCCCUAUCCUUCUGCUGUCAGCAUCUUUUCUCUCUCUAGUGGACCAUUCCUUUUAACUCCCCACUUUCAUCUAAUUUCUCCUCCAGCUCUUCAAAAGGUUGCCUGUGCUCAUCAUCUCUGAAUUACCUCCUUCAUUUCUCUUCCAAAUGUCUUGCAAUAUGGCAUUCACCAGCACCACUGCCAAAGCCACUGAAGUCCUCCUUACUGUUACAUCCACAGGUCAUGUCUUCAUCUUGCCCUUAAGUAAUCAUUGGAUAUCAGCUGUUGGUUCCCUCAACUUGGAAGUCUUUCAUUUAGUGUUUUCCAGGAUACCAUACUACUGAUUUUCUUCUCCCUCACUCAUUUCUUCUUUCCCAUAUACAUUGUCUGUAUAGUUUGCUAUGUCCUCGUCUCUUCAGAUACUUGACGUUGGAAAGCCUGAAGCUCUUCAUAAAACACCAGACUCUUAGAGCCAAUUACGCAGUUGACACCUCCACUUGAAUAUCUAAUUUGGCAUCUCAGCUACACCAUUACCAGAUUUAUCUCUUCCAAAUCUGUACCUCAACUUCCAUUUUUUCCUCUUCUCAGUUGGUAGCAACUCCAUUUUUUUUCCUGGUGAUAUGGCCAAAGUCUUGUAAUCAAUUUAUUCUUUCUUUUAUACUCCAUGCAGAAUCCAUUAGCAAAUCCUCUACCUUCAAAGCAUGUCCAGAAUUUGGCCAUUUCUCCCAUCAUACCUAUGACCCUGUUGUAAUCCACAAUAUCUGACUGAAGUCUUUUAAUAAUUCCUCAACUCUUCCUACUUUUGGCCUUGCUGUGUGCCUCAAUUCCAGUCUAUUCUGUCUAUCACAAUCUUGGGAACCAUUUAAUAUCCCCCCAAAAUGCUACUACUCUCUUUCAGACUUCCAGUGUUUACCCAUCUUAUCCCCAUAAUGCAUGGAGUCUUUGCAGAGACCUUGCUGACACCAGACUGGCCACCUGCCACCUCUUAUUGUACCUCCCCUCCUGAGAUGGUCCCCACUCACUGUCCUGCAGCCACAUGGCCUCCAUCCCAUUUCUUGAACAAGGCAUGCAUCGGCUCAUUCCAAAACUCUUCUUCUUGGGAUGACCUCCCCCAGUUAGAGAUUUUUCCUUCCCAAACCCUGUCUAUUUUCUUCAAUGUCACCCUCCCAGGAAGGUCUUCAUUAAGACCAUUUUAAAAUUUGCAAAACUUACUCAUGAGAAUUCCUAGUGUUUUUCUCUGCUUUAUUUUUUUCUCCCCAGUAUCUAUUAAAUUGCUAAUUACCAGUGUUCUAUUCCUCCUCCCACCCCAUCAAAAUGUACUAUGGAGGUGGAGAUUUUAGUCUUUUUUAUUCAUAUUUCCAGAAACUAAGAUCACCUUCAUCUUCUGAUGGACAUGAACAUACCUUCUUUUUUUUUUGGCAUCUGCUGGAGGCUUCCUACACCCAGGUUCAGUGGACUCAACUUGAUUUAUGUACAUCCCAUCUCUUAUUUAUAAUAAUGUUUCAGAAUUUAUAUUUUCUUAAUUUUUUGAAAACCUGAAUGGAUUUUUUUUUUUUUUGGGUAUCUGUGUGCAUCUUCCCAAGAGCAAGGCUCUUCCUAUUUAUCACAAGUAUUACCUUUUAUUUCCCGCACAUCCAGGAUAUUUCUGUUUAUUCUCACCAUCUCCCAACUUUCCUGGAAGAGGAGUGGUCCAUUCAGCUCUUUUCUUGUGCCCAAAUGGAGAGGCAAGGGGUCUCAUUAUUCUCUUGGCUGUUUAAUCCAUCCUUUUCUAUAUGAAGUUUGAAUCUUCUGGUGUGUGAGGCUCCUGCUCAAAUACCUGCUGUUUUUCAUUUCCUUCUGUGAGAGCUGAGGCAAGGAGAAAGUUUAUUCCCUCAUGUAUAAGAAGCAGAAAUGUGUGGCUACCUAGACAAGAAAAAAGGAAGAAUCAAUCCAACUUGCAAAAUCUUCCAUUUUAUUGGAGAACACAAAAUUUGAAUCAGUGUGUUCAGUCAAGGAUGAACUAAUAAUUCAGUCCCUGAAUCAGAAAUUGCACCACAAUUUAAAGCAUAAACUA
This is a non-coding RNA of Odocoileus virginianus texanus, 2033 nucleotides long. Lineage: Eukaryota; Metazoa; Chordata; Mammalia; Artiodactyla; Cervidae. The record is from RefSeq and is a predicted model, not a curated record.